RNAcentral lists this ribosomal RNA (485 nucleotides) under Streptococcus anginosus. RNAcentral describes it as "bacterial SSU rRNA". It matches the Rfam family "Bacterial small subunit ribosomal RNA", at positions 9 to 470 of the family's 1533-position model. The record is from RNAcentral. Lineage: Bacteria; Bacillati; Bacillota; Bacilli; Lactobacillales; Streptococcaceae.
GAGUUUGAUUCUGGCUCAGGACGAACGCUGGCGGCGUGCCUAAUACAUGCAAGUAGGACGCACAGUUUAUACCGUAGCUUGCUACACCAUAGACUGUGAGUUGCGAACGGGUGAGUAACGCGUAGGUAACCUGCCUAUUAGAGGGGGAUAACUAUUGGAAACGAUAGCUAAUACCGCAUAACAGUAUGUAACACAUGUUAGAUGCUUGAAAGAUGCAAUUGCAUCGCUAGUAGAUGGACCUGCGUUGUAUUAGCUAGUAGGUAGGGUAAUGGCCUACCUAGGCGACGAUACAUAGCCGACCUGAGAGGGUGAUCGGCCACACUGGGACUGAGACACGGCCCAGACUCCUACGGGAGGCAGCAGUAGGGAAUCUUCGGCAAUGGGGGGAACCCUGACCGAGCAACGCCGCGUGAGUGAAGAAGGUUUUCGGAUCGUAAAGCUCUGUUGUUAAGGAAGAACGAGUGUGAGAAUGGAAAGUUCAUACU